UCAAGUAUAGCACCAAACGAGAAACAAGUCUAAUGGUGGAGCGGUACUGGCCCGGUAAAAGCGCUUGAGGUGCUUCGGUGGUUUAACCGCUGGGCAGCAACCUAAGGGUAGUUAUACCUCACGUACCCAUCCCCGCGGUACAACCGCCCGAGCCAACGGUACAACCGCUGGGAGAGAAAACAACUGAUUUGGAGAAGGAAUGAGGGCCUCUCUCAAGGAUCAGAAGGAACUAGGGUGGGAGAUAGAAGAUGUGUACGUGCAUUGAUACACCCACUACCUUAUGAUGAGAAUUCCCUCUUAAUAGUACUGGUU
Molecule: long non-coding RNA, 312 nt
Filed under: Hordeum vulgare
Lineage: Eukaryota; Viridiplantae; Streptophyta; Magnoliopsida; Poales; Poaceae
Description: long non-coding RNA (HVUL_LNC009887)
Source: RNAcentral